GCUGUGGCCACGAUAAUCUCCAUUCUCUUCCUAUCUUUCUUUCCACACGGGACGCCAGAACGCUAUUCAUCACAUUCAAGAUUGACUGUUCGUCGCCUCGCCGGCCACCCUGCCAGUACCUCGCUGCUCUCUGUUGAAUGAAGAUGUGGCGCUUCGCUAGGUUAACACUGCUGAUGACGUUUGCUUUUCUUAAGGUUGCGCCUGGGUGUGUUCCUGAGCAACAAACAGCCAAGGUUGCGCCUGGGUGUGUUCCUGAGCAACAAACAGCCAAGGUUGCGCCUGGGUGUGUUCCUGAGCAACAAACAGCCAAGGUUGCGCCUGGGUGUGUUCCUGAGCAACAAACAACAAGAUAGGUUGCGCUUGGGUAGCAACCUUCGGUAACCUCUUCGGUAACCUGUGUUCCUGAGCAAGAUGAUUAAAAAGUAGUGCAGAUUAAGAACGCCGUUCCAACCGAGAGGGACACACACACACAGCAGGUUGUUGUUACUUUUGUAACGUUUUUUUUAAUUCUAACUACUAACUACUACUACUACUACUACUACUACUACAAUUUGUGUUCAAUCAUACAUAUAUAACAAAACUUGUUCUGAUAUUUUUUUUUGUGCUUGCUUUUGUGAUUUUCCAGUUAAGUAAAGAUGUUU
This 641-nucleotide long non-coding RNA is filed under the name Portunus trituberculatus (swimming crab). RNAcentral's name for it is "uncharacterized LOC123507736, transcript variant X5". The record is from RNAcentral. Lineage: Eukaryota; Metazoa; Arthropoda; Malacostraca; Decapoda; Portunidae.